Betta splendens (Siamese fighting fish) is the source of this 3387-nucleotide long non-coding RNA. NCBI's taxonomy places the organism in Eukaryota, Metazoa, Chordata, Actinopteri, Anabantiformes, Osphronemidae. The record is from Ensembl.
AUGGUUUCGGUUUCAUCCUCUCCGCCUCGUCGGAUCGUCGUGCCUGCACCAACCUGCCCAGCUCCAUGGUUAUUUCCCUGGGAGGAUUUCCUGCUCUCACGCGGUCCUCAGCCUCCAGUUCAGCCGCGCGCUGCUCAGCCUCCAAGUCAGCCGCGCGCUGCUCAGCCUCCAAGUCAGCCGCGCGCUGCUCAGCCUCCAAGUCAGCCGCGCGCUGCUCAGCCUCCAAGUCAGCCGCGCGCUGCUCAGCCUCCAGUUCAGCCGCGCGCUGCUCAGUCUCCAGUUCAGCCGCGCGCUGCUCAGUCUCCAGUUCAGCCGCGCGCUGCUCAGCCUCCAAGUCAGCCGCGCGCUGCUCAGUUUCCAGUUCAGCCGCGCGCUGCUCAGUCUCCAGAUCAGCCGCGCGCUGCUCAGUCUCCAGUUCAGCCGCGCGCUGUUCAAUCUCCAGCUCAAUCGUGCUUUGCCCAGUCUCCAGCUCAAUCGUGUUUUGCCCAGUCUCCUGCUCAAUCGUGUUUUCCCCAGUCUCCAGCCCAAGCUCCAGACGCCGCGGCCCCGUUUCACCAUGCGGAUCCCGGUACAGAGGUCCGGUCCACACCGCGCCCAGCGCCUCAAACGACGGACAGUCGCAGCUGCUCCGGACGGCGACGGCGGCGGCGCGGGUCCAGGAUCCCGGGUCCCGCGGUCUCGGUCAUGGGGACCGAGCAGCCUUCUUCCCCGACAGAGGAGCCCCUUAAUUCUCUGACUGACUGUGUCCCUCUGAUAACAGGCAUCCCAGACAGCGUCGCCCGACGGGUCCACCUCCUCUGCUCUCCUCCAGUUGCCUUUCUCUUCGCCCACCUCAUGAACACCGCCAAUUCGGCUACAGACCAGGGCGCGAGAGAACAACUGUUCGAGGAAGCAGCCGCUCUCGUCCGGAGGGAGCCUGUCCUGCGUGAGGCCCUGCAACUCCCGGGCCUGCAGCCAGCGGUCGCUUCAUGCCCCAUCUCUCAGUCAGGUCAGCCGUGUGUUACUCAUGCCCCGGUGCAGCCCUGUCGUCUCCAGGUCCCAGCCCAGUCGAACCUAGUCCAGACCCCAGAUCAGCCGUGUGUUGCCCAGACCCCAGAUCAGCCGUGUGUUGCCCAGACCCCAGGUCAGCCGUGUGUUGCCCAGACCCCAGAUCAGCCGUGUGUUGCCCAGACCCCAGAUCAGCCGUGUGUUGCCCAGACCCCAGAUCAGCCGUGUGUUGCCCAGACCCCAGAUCAGUCGUGUGUUGCCCUGACCCCAGUUCCGUCCUUGUCCCCGUCAGAGGGCACCGCCCGUCUGACGAUUGUUAACCCCACCCAAUCAGGCCCGUCGUCUUCCCCGUCGAGCUCGGCAGCCGUAAGUUGUCAUGCCAGCUCCAGAGUAGAUGCCGUUCCCGUCCCUGUCGGCCAAGUAGAUGCCGUUCCCGUCCCUGUCGGCCAAGUAGACGCCGUUCUAGUUCCUGUCGGCCAAGCAGAGGCCGUUCCAGUUCCUGUCGGCCAUGUUGAGGUCGUUCCAGUUCCUGUCGGCCAUGUUGCGGUCGUUCCAGUUCCUGUCGGCCAUGUUGAGGUCGUUCCAGUUCCUGUCGGCCAUGUUGAGGUCGUUCCAGUUCCUGUCGGCCAUGUUGAGGUCGUUCCAGUUCCUGUCGGCCAUGUUGAGGUCGUUCCAGUUCCUGUCGGCCAUGUUGAGGUCGUUCCAGUUCUUGUCGACCAAGUUGAGGUCGUUCCAGUUCCUGUCCCUGUCGACCAAGUUGAGGUCGUUCCAGUUCCUGUUCCUGUCGGCCAUGUUGAGGUCGUUCCAGUUCCUGUCCCUGUCGACCAAGUUGAGGUCGUUCCAGUUCCUGUCCCUGUCGACCAAGUUGAGGUCGUUCCAGUUCCUGUCCCUGUCGACCAAGUUGAGGUCGUUCCAGCUCCUGUCCCUGUCGACCAAGUUGAGGGCGUUCCCGUAGGCCAAGUAGAGGGCGUUCCCGUAGGCCAAGUAGAGGGCGUUCCCGUAGGCCAAGUAGAGGGCGUUCCCGUAGGCCAAGUAGAGGGCGUUCCCGUAGGCCAAGUAGAGGGCGUUCCCGUAGGCCAAGUAGAGGUCACCCCUGUCUCUGACCCCGUUCCUGUCGGCCCUGUAGCGGUCGUUCCAUUCCCCGUUCCCGUCGGCCCUGUAGCGGUCGUUCCAGUCCCCGUCACCCUUGGAGCCGCAGCGCCCGCCGGCCUCCAGGAGGAGGCAGCACCUGCAGUUCCUGCGCACCUCCAGGAGGAGGUUGCGCCAGCCGCAGUUCCUGCGCACCUCCAGGAGGAGGUUGCGCCAGCCGCAGUUCCUGCGCACCUCCAGGAGGAGGUUGCGCCAGCCGCAGUUCCUGCGCACCUCCAGGAGGAGGUUGCGCCAGCCGCAGUUCCUGCGCACCUCCAGGAGGAGGUUGCGCCAGCCGCAGUUCCGGCGCACCUCCAGGAGGAGGUUGCGCCAGCCGCAGUCCCGGCGCACCUCCAGGAGGAGGUUGCGCCAGCCGCAGUCCCGGCGGACCCCCAGGAGGGGGUCGCGCCCGCCGCAGUCCCGGCGGACCCCCAGGAGGGGGUCGCGCCCGCCGCAGUCCCGGCGGACCCCCAGGAGGGGGUCGCGCCCGCCGCAGUCCCGGCGGACCCCCAGGAGGGGGUCGCGCCCGCCGCAGUCCCGGCGGACCCCCAGGAGGGGGUCGCGCCCGCCGCAGUCCCGGCGGACCCCCAGGAGGGGGUCGCGCCCGUCGUAGUUCCUGCCGACCUCCAGGAGGGGGUCGCUCCCGUCGUAGUUCCUGCCGACCUCCAGGAGGGGGUCGCUCCCGUCGUAGUUCCUGCCGACCUCCAGGAGGGGGUCGCUCCCGUCGUAGUUCCUGCCGACCUCCAGGAGGGGGUCGCUCCCGUCGUAGUUCCUGCCGACCUCCAGGAGGGGGUCGCUCCCGUCGUAGCUCCUGCCGCAUCUGCAUCGGUUCCUGGCGGCCCGGCUCCGGCCGCAUCUGCAUCGGUUCCUGGCGGUCCGGCUCCGGUCGCAUCUGCAUCGGUCCCUGGCGGUCCGGCUCCGGCCGCAUCUGUUUCGGUUCCUGCCUCUCGUCGCGGUGGUCCAAGGAGGACGCCGCUGGUUCACGUCUCUCGUCGCGGUGGUCCAAGGAGGACGCCGCUGGUUCCUGCCUCGUCUCUGCCUUUGCUGCCGGACUGGUGGCCUCGCCCUCGGCGCAUCCUGCUGCUGGGAUGGCGCUGCCUCCUGCGGCGCCGUCCGCCUCGACUCCUCAACCGCCUGGAUCAGCGUCCGCCUGGUGGACGCUGCCAUGCGGGGUGGUCCCCGGGGACAUCGGUCCAGCCCAAGGGCACUAAGAGUGCCACCCUGGCUCAGCGGCUGCUGGGCAGGGUCUCGCCACGCCAUCACCCUCCGUGA